RNAcentral lists this ribosomal RNA (490 nucleotides) under uncultured bacterium. RNAcentral describes it as "partial 16S ribosomal RNA". It matches the Rfam family "Bacterial small subunit ribosomal RNA", at positions 30 to 507 of the family's 1533-position model. The record is from RNAcentral.
AUUGAACGCUGGCGGCAUGCUUUACACAUGCAAGUCGAACGGCAGCACGAAAGAGCUUGCUCUUUUGGUGGCGAGUGGCGAACGGGUGAGUAAUGCAUCGGAACGUACCGAGUAAUGGGGGAUAACUGUCCGAAAGGAUAGCUAAUACCGCAUACGCUUUGAGAAGGAAAGUGGGGGCUCUUCGGACCUCACGUUAUUCGAGCGGCCGAUGUCUGAUUAGCUAUUUGGUGGGGUAAAGGCCUACCAAGGCGACGAUCAGUAGCGGGUCUGAGAGGAUGAUCCGCCACACUGGGACUGAGACACGGCCCAGACUCCUACGGGAGGCAGCAGUGGGGAAUUUUGGACAAUGGGCGCAAGCCUGAUCCAGCCAUGCCGCGUGUCUGAAGAAGGCCUUCGGGUUGUAAAGGACUUUUGUUAGGGAAGAAAAGGAUAGUGUUAAUACCAUUAUCUGCUGACGGUACCUAAAGAAUAAGCACCGGCUAACUACGUG